Fukomys damarensis (Damara mole-rat) is the source of this 46-nucleotide non-coding RNA. The record is from Rfam. Lineage: Eukaryota; Metazoa; Chordata; Mammalia; Rodentia; Bathyergidae.
CCAAAGGCUCUUUUCAGAGCCACCCACAAACACCCUGAAGAUCUGU